UGGCGAUGAAGAUAAAACAAAAGGCUUGUUUCUCAACAACAUUCGCAGUGGCCGCCUAAGUGCUUUCGCCUUUCGCCGGGCUUGAGAGCUUAUGCUGUUUUUCUAUCCUUCCUUGGAUGUCUGAGUCA
Molecule: small nucleolar RNA, 128 nt
Filed under: Erythranthe guttata (spotted monkey flower)
Lineage: Eukaryota; Viridiplantae; Streptophyta; Magnoliopsida; Lamiales; Phrymaceae
Description: Mimulus guttatus (spotted monkey flower) Small nucleolar RNA SNORD14
Rfam family: Small nucleolar RNA SNORD14
About the family: U14 small nucleolar RNA (U14 snoRNA) is required for early cleavages of eukaryotic precursor rRNAs. In yeasts, this molecule possess a stem-loop region (known as the Y-domain) which is essential for function.
Source: Rfam by way of RNAcentral